UAGGGAAUCUUCGGCAAUGGGGGGAACCCUGACCGAGCAACGCCGCGUGAGUGAAGAAGGUUUUCGGAUCGUAAAGCUCUGUUGUUAAGGAAGAACGAGUGUGAGAAUGGAAAGUUCAUGCUGUGACGGUACUUAACCAGAAAGGGACGGCUAACUACGUGCCAGCAGCCGCGGUAAUACGUAGGUCCCGAACGUUGUCCGGAUUUAUUGGGCGUAAAGCGAGCGCAGGCGGUCAAUUAAGUCUGAUGUGAAAGCCCCCGGCUCAACCGGGGAGGGUCAUUGGAAACUGGUUGAAUUGAGUGCAGAAGAGGAGAGUGGAAUUCCAUGUGUAGCGGUGAAAUGCGUAGAUAUAUGGAGGAACACCAGUGGCGAAGGCGACUCUCUGGUCUGUAACUGACGCUGAGGCUCGAAAGCGUGGGUAGCAAACAGG
Molecule: ribosomal RNA, 430 nt
Filed under: Bacteroidota bacterium
Lineage: Bacteria; Pseudomonadati; Bacteroidota
Description: Bacteroidetes bacterium partial 16S ribosomal RNA
Rfam family: Bacterial small subunit ribosomal RNA
Source: RNAcentral